RNAcentral lists this ribosomal RNA (159 nucleotides) under uncultured bacterium. RNAcentral describes it as "partial 16S ribosomal RNA". It matches the Rfam family "Bacterial small subunit ribosomal RNA", at positions 1344 to 1500 of the family's 1533-position model. The record is from RNAcentral.
GCGAAUCAGAAUGUCGCGGUGAAUACGUUCCCGGGCCUUGUACACACCGCCCGUCACACCAUGAGAGUCGAUAACACCCGAAGCCUGUGAGCUUAACCUUUUAGGAGGCAGCAGUCGAAGGUGGGGUUGAUGAUUGGGGUGAAGUCGUAACAAGGUAAC